This 334-nucleotide ribosomal RNA is filed under the name uncultured Bacillota bacterium. Its description in RNAcentral is "bacterial SSU rRNA". It matches the Rfam family "Bacterial small subunit ribosomal RNA", at positions 28 to 351 of the family's 1533-position model. Lineage: Bacteria; Bacillati; Bacillota. The record is from RNAcentral.
GAUGAACGCUGGCGGCGUGCCUAAUACAUGCAAGUCGAGCGAAUUUUUGGGAGCUUGCUCCCAAAGGUUAGCGGCGGACGGGUGAGUAACACGUGGGUAACCUGCCUGUAAGACUGGGAUAACUUCGGGAAACCGGAGCUAAUACCGGAUAACAUAUGAGACCGCAUGGUCUUAUAUUAGAAGAUGGCUUUUAGCUAUCACUUACAGAUGGACCCGCGGCGCAUUAGCUAGUUGGUGAGGUAAUGGCUCACCAAGGCGACGAUGCGUAGCCGACCUGAGAGGGUGAUCGGCCACACUGGGACUGAGACACGGCCCAGACUCCUACGGGAGGCAG